CACAUGCUCCCUCUGUCCCUAAAUUAUUGUCUUAGAUUCGUCUAGAUACGGAUGUAUCUAAUACUAAAACGUGACUUGAUACAUCCGUAUGUAGGCAAAUCUAAGAGAAGAAUUUUGGGACGGAGGGAGUAUAAU
Molecule: non-coding RNA, 135 nt
Organism: Triticum aestivum (bread wheat)
Lineage: Eukaryota; Viridiplantae; Streptophyta; Magnoliopsida; Poales; Poaceae
Source: Rfam